GAUGAACGCUGGCGGCGUGCCUAAUACAUGCAAGUCGAGCGAACAGACGAGGAGCUUGCUCCUCUGACGUUAGCGGCGGACGGGUGAGUAACACGUGGAUAACCUACCUAUAAGACUGGGAUAACUUCGGGAAACCGGAGCUAAUACCGGAUAAUAUAUUGAACCGCAUGGUUCAAUAGUGAAAGACGGUUUUGCUGUCACUUAUAGAUGGAUCCGCGCCGCAUUAGCUAGUUGGUAAGGUAACGGCUUACCAAGGCAACGAUGCGUAGCCGACCUGAGAGUGUGAUCGGCCACACUGGAACUGAGACACGGUCCAGACUCCAACAGGAGGCAGCAGUAGGGAAUCUUCCGCAAUGGGCGAGAGCCUGACGAAGCAACGCCGCGUGAGUGAUGAAGGUCUUCGGAUCGUAAAACUCUGUUAUUAGGGAAGAACAAAUGUGUAAGUAACUAUGCACGUCGUGACGGUACCUAAUCAGAAGGCGACGGCUAACUACGGGC
RNAcentral lists this ribosomal RNA (498 nucleotides) under uncultured bacterium. RNAcentral describes it as "partial 16S ribosomal RNA". It matches the Rfam family "Bacterial small subunit ribosomal RNA", at positions 28 to 508 of the family's 1533-position model. The record is from RNAcentral.